AGACCAGCAGCAUUAGCACCACCUGGGAGCUGGUUAGAAUCCCAGCCCCAGGUCCUACCCCAGACUUAAUCAAAAUCGGUAUUUUUGCUCGAGGACAGGAGGUCAAGACCAGCCUGGGCAAUAUGGCGGACUUGGGGCUUGAACAGUGCACAGUCAAGAUGGCUGCUGGGUCCAGAGGCUUCCACAGAGGACAGGAGAGGCACCCCUGCAUCCCAGGCUCAGGCACCGUGCUACAUGCUGGGGACAACUGCAAAGGUAAAUAUGCCAGAAUCCUUGUUUUUGAAGUUUUCUGUCAAAUGGAUGAGGAGAAAAUGAAAGAGAUCACAUUGUCAAUGGGUAAGUGAUAUAGAAGAGUGCAAUGGGAACACAGCACAUUC
Homo sapiens (human) is the source of this 377-nucleotide long non-coding RNA. RefSeq lists it as uncharacterized. NCBI's taxonomy places the organism in Eukaryota, Metazoa, Chordata, Mammalia, Primates, Hominidae. The transcript is spliced from 3 exons. The record is from RefSeq and is a predicted model, not a curated record.